RNAcentral lists this ribosomal RNA (243 nucleotides) under uncultured bacterium. RNAcentral describes it as "partial 16S ribosomal RNA". It matches the Rfam family "Bacterial small subunit ribosomal RNA", at positions 534 to 776 of the family's 1533-position model. The record is from RNAcentral.
GCAAGCGUUGUUCGGAAUUACUGGGCGGAAAGGGUUCGUAGGUGGCCAACUAAGUCAGACGUGAAAUCCCUCAGCUUAACUGGGGAACUGCGUCUGAGACUGGAUGGCUUGAGUGCAGGAGAGGAACGCGGAAUUCCAGGUGUAGCGGUGAAAUGCGUAGAUAUCUGGAGGAACACCGGUGGCGAAGGCGGCGUUCUGGACUGCUACUGACACUGAGGAACGAAAGCCAGGGGAGCAAACGGG